CAUGAAUACGACAACAAAAGCAAUUAUAGCACACAUGUGAUAGAAAAAUAAGGUGAAGGUGGAACAUAUCGGUGCUCUUCAUUAAAACAUUCAUUUUUAUUUGGUAGAACAUUACUAAUCAAUACACUCUCCAUUAUAUGCUCAAUUUGAUUCAGAGAAGUAGGCAUUAAAAGAAGAUUUAGCAUCUCCAACUUGCUUCUUGUAUGCUGAAUGAUCAUGAAGCCACACGCUUUACAAAUUUUGAUUUAACUCUAUGAUCAACAAUUUGAAACUAAAAUGCAGCAUCCAUACCCAUGGAUGUUGAAAUUAGAGUGACAAAUUCUUCCUUUUCUGACUUUAGAGGAUCCAAAUAAAGAAUCAAAUAUUUAUUCCAUACCAUUACAAUCAUUAUGUAAUGGAGGUUAAAAGUCACUUCCUUUAUGUAAUAUUAAAAGAGCGGCGUCUUCUAUGAGUUUUAUUCCAAUAGGAAACUGUAGAAAACAAUGCCCUCUUCAGCAUAGUUAUAGCAUGUCCACCUUCUACAAGAAGCAUAGAACCAUAAAAUGGUUGUAGAAAACACAUCACAACUGUUGUUGCAAACAUACUGGUAGAUUUAACAAGCAUAAAAG
RNAcentral lists this unclassified non-coding RNA (608 nucleotides) under Hevea brasiliensis (rubber tree). The record is from RNAcentral. Lineage: Eukaryota; Viridiplantae; Streptophyta; Magnoliopsida; Malpighiales; Euphorbiaceae.